GACGAACGCUGGCGGCGUGCUUAACACAUGCAAGUCGAACGAUGAAGCUGGAGCUUGCUCCGGUGGAUUAGUGGCGAACGGGUGAGUAACACGUGAGCAAUCUGCCCUUGACUCUGGGAUAACUGCGGGAAACUGUAGCUAAUACCGGAUACGAGGCUCGAAGGCAUCUUCGGGUCUGGAAAGAAUUUCGGUCAAGGAUGAGCUCGCGGCAUAUCAGCUUGUUGGUGAGGUAAUGGCUCACCAAGGCGACGACGGGUAGCCGGCCUGAGAGGGUGACCGGCCACACUGGGACUGGGACACGGCCCAGACUCCUACGGGAGGCAGCAGUGGGGAAUAUUGCACAAUGGGCGAAAGCCUGAUGCAGCAACGCCGCGUGAGGGAUGAAGGCCUUCGGGUUGUAAACCUCUUUUAGCAGGGAAGAAGCGAAAGUGUCGGUACCUGCAGAAAAAGCACCGGCUAACUACGUGCCAGCCGCCGCGGUAA
This 483-nucleotide ribosomal RNA is filed under the name uncultured bacterium. RNAcentral's name for it is "partial 16S ribosomal RNA". It matches the Rfam family "Bacterial small subunit ribosomal RNA", at positions 28 to 523 of the family's 1533-position model. The record is from RNAcentral.